CGGAGGGGGCCAGCGUUGUUCGGAAUUAUUGGGCGUAAAGGGCGCGUAGGCGGCCGGAUAAGUCUGACGUGAAAUCCCUCGGCCCAACCGGGGAACUGCGUUUGAAACUGUUCGGCUCGAGUCCGGGAGAGGGUAGUGGAAUUCCCAGUGUAGCGGUGAAAUGCGUAGAUAUUGGGAGGAACACCGGUGGCGAAGGCGGCUACCUGGACCGGUACUGACGCUGAUGCGCGAAAGCUGGGGUAGCAAACAGGAUUAGAUACCCUGGUAGUCCCAGCUGUAAACGAUGGGUGCUUGGUGUAGCGGGUAUCGACCCCUGCUGUGCCGAAGCUAACGCAUUAAGCACCCCGCCUGGGGAGUACGGUCGCAAGGCUG
This 372-nucleotide ribosomal RNA is filed under the name uncultured organism. RNAcentral describes it as "bacterial SSU rRNA". It matches the Rfam family "Bacterial small subunit ribosomal RNA", at positions 526 to 896 of the family's 1533-position model. The record is from RNAcentral.